Molecule: ribosomal RNA, 253 nt
Filed under: uncultured bacterium
Lineage: Bacteria
Description: partial 16S ribosomal RNA
Rfam family: Bacterial small subunit ribosomal RNA
Source: RNAcentral
UACGUAGGGGGCAAGCGUUAUCCGGAUUUACUGGGUGUAAAGGGAGCGUAGACGGCAGAGCAAGUCCGAAGUGAAAGCCCGCGGCCCAACUGCGGGACUGCUUUGGAAACUGCCCGGCUAGAGUGCUGGAGAGGUAAGCGGAAUUCCUAGUGUAGCGGUGAAAUGCGUAGAUAUUAGGAGGAACACCAGUGGCGAAGGCGGCUUACUGGACAGUAACUGACGUUGAGGCUCGAAAGCGUGGGGAGCAAACAGG